RNAcentral lists this ribosomal RNA (730 nucleotides) under uncultured bacterium. Its description in RNAcentral is "bacterial SSU rRNA". It matches the Rfam family "Bacterial small subunit ribosomal RNA", at positions 771 to 1501 of the family's 1533-position model. The record is from RNAcentral.
AACAGGAUUAGAUACCCUGGUAGUCCGCGCCGUAAACGAUGUCGACUUGGAGGUUGUGCCCUUGAGGCGUGGCUUCCGGAGCUAACGCGUUAAGUCGACCGCCUGGGGAGUACGGCCGCAAGGUUAAAACUCAAAUGAAUUGACGGGGGCCCGCACAAGCGGUGGAGCAUGUGGUUUAAUUCGAUGCAACGCGAAGAACCUUACCUACUCUUGACAUCCAGAGAACUUAGCAGAGAUGCUUUGGUGCCUUCGGGAACUCUGAGACAGGUGCUGCAUGGCUGUCGUCAGCUCGUGUUGUGAAAUGUUGGGUUAAGUCCCGCAACGAGCGCAACCCUUAUCCUUUGUUGCCAGCGGUCCGGCCGGGAACUCAAAGGAGACUGCCAGUGAUAAACUGGAGGAAGGUGGGGAUGACGUCAAGUCAUCAUGGCCCUUACGAGUAGGGCUACACACGUGCUACAAUGGCGCAUACAAAGAGAAGCGACCUCGCGAGAGCAAGCGGACCUCAUAAAGUGCGUCGUAGUCCGGAUUGGAGUCUGCAACUCGACUCCAUGAAGUCGGAAUCGCUAGUAAUCGUAGAUCAGAAUGCUACGGUGAAUACGUUCCCGGGCCUUGUACACACCGCCCGUCACACCAUGGGAGUGGGUUGCAAAAGAAGUAGGUAGCUUAACCUUCGGGAGGGCGCUUACCACUUUGUGAUUCAUGACUGGGGUGAAGUCGUAACAAGGUAACC